Molecule: ribosomal RNA, 484 nt
Filed under: uncultured bacterium
Lineage: Bacteria
Description: partial 16S ribosomal RNA
Rfam family: Bacterial small subunit ribosomal RNA
Source: RNAcentral
AUUGAACGCUGGCGGCAGGCCUAACACAUGCAAGUCGAGCGGAUGAAGGGAGCUUGCUCCUGGAUUCGGCGGCGGACGGGUGAGUAAUGCCUAGGAAUCUGCCUGGUAGUGGGGGAUAACGUCCGGAAACGGGCGCUAAUACCGCAUACGUCCUGAGGGAGAAAGUGGGGGAUCUUCGGACCUCACGCUAUCAGAUGAGCCUAGGUCGGAUUAGCUAGUUGGUGGGGUAAAGGCCUACCAAGGCGACGAUCCGUAACUGGUCUGAGAGGAUGAUCAGUCACACUGGAACUGAGACACGGUCCAGACUCCUACGGGAGGCAGCAGUGGGGAAUAUUGGACAAUGGGCGAAAGCCUGAUCCAGCCAUGCCGCGUGUGUGAAGAAGGUCUUCGGAUUGUAAAGCACUUUAAGUUGGGAGGAAGGGCAGUAAGUUAAUACCUUGCUGUUUUGACGUUACCAACAGAAUAAGCACCGGCUAACUCCGUG